Non-coding RNA from Mycena rebaudengoi, 101 nucleotides. NCBI's taxonomy places the organism in Eukaryota, Fungi, Basidiomycota, Agaricomycetes, Agaricales, Mycenaceae. The record is from the annotation of a GenBank genome assembly.
GACCUGUUGGCGCACUCGGCAGCGCACCCACAAUAACUACUGAGUGCUGAGCUUCCGAAGACAGUAUGUGGGAGGCCCCAGUUCGACUCUGGGACGGGUCA